UACGUAGGGUGCAAGCGUUGUCCGGAAUUAUUGGGCGUAAAGAGCUCGUAGGCGGCUUGUCGCGUCGUUCGUGAAAACCCACAGCUCAACUGUGGGCUUGCGGUCGAUACAGGCAGGCUGGAGUUCGGUAGGGGAGACUGGAAUUCCUGGUGUAGCGGUGAAAUGCGCAGAUAUCAGGAGGAACACCGGUGGCGAAGGCGGGUCUCUGGGCCGAUACUGACGCUGAGGAGCGAAAGCGUGGGGAGCGAACAGG
This 253-nucleotide ribosomal RNA is filed under the name uncultured bacterium. RNAcentral's name for it is "partial 16S ribosomal RNA". It matches the Rfam family "Bacterial small subunit ribosomal RNA", at positions 524 to 776 of the family's 1533-position model. The record is from RNAcentral.